RNAcentral lists this ribosomal RNA (434 nucleotides) under uncultured Blautia sp. RNAcentral's name for it is "bacterial SSU rRNA". It matches the Rfam family "Bacterial small subunit ribosomal RNA", at positions 341 to 792 of the family's 1533-position model. Lineage: Bacteria; Bacillati; Bacillota; Clostridia; Lachnospirales; Lachnospiraceae. The record is from RNAcentral.
ACGGAAGGCAGCAGUGGGGAAUAUUGCACAAUGGGGGAAACCCUGAUGCAGCGACGCCGCGUGAGUGAAGAAGUAAUUCGUUAUGUAAAGCUCUAUCAGCAGGGAAGAAAGUGACGGUACCUGAGUAAGAAGCCCCGGCUAACUACGUGCCAGCAGCCGCGGUAAUACGUAGGGGGCAAGCGUUAUCCGGAUUUACUGGGUGUAAAGGGAGUGUAGACGGCGAUGCAAGUCUGAAGUGAAAGCCCGGUGCUCAACAUCGGGACUGCUUUGGAAACUGUAUAGCUGGAGUGCCGGAGAGGUAAGCGGAAUUCCUAGUGUAGCGGUGAAAUGCGUAGAUAUUAGGAAGAACACCAGUGGCGAAGGCGGCUUACUGGACGGUAACUGACGUUGAGGCUCGAAAGCGUGGGGAGCAAACAGGAUUAGAUACCCUGGUA